ACAGAGGUCCCAAGCGUUGUUCGGAUUCAUUGGGCGUAAAGGGUGCGUAGGCGGUAAGGUAAGUUGGAUGUGAAAUCCCGGGGCUUAACCCCGGAACUGCAUUCAAUACUGCUUUGCUAGAGUACUGGAGAGGAGAUUGGCAUUCACGGUGUAGCAGUGAAAUGCGUAGAUAUCGUGAGGAAGACCAGUGGCGAAGGCGAAUCUCUGGACAGUUACUGACGCUGAGGCACGAAGGCUAGGGGAGCAAACGGGA
This 253-nucleotide ribosomal RNA is filed under the name uncultured prokaryote. RNAcentral's name for it is "partial 16S ribosomal RNA". It matches the Rfam family "Bacterial small subunit ribosomal RNA", at positions 525 to 777 of the family's 1533-position model. The record is from RNAcentral.